UUCUUUAUGGUUAUGAUGAACUGCUUAUUACAGAUAUGCCAACAGAAGAGGUUAAAAGGUAUCAUCUCUCUCUCGAAGACCUUUUUUUCCAUUUUGUUUUGGUGAAACCAACUAUGAAAGGCUUAAACUAUAUCCAUCUCUCCUGAUCAUCUCAGACAAGGGACUUCCAGGUAAGAAGAGUCUAUACAUAAGGCUAGGUUGCCGUGGUGAUUGGCCCAAUAUACAACCGCCGGGAUGGGAUCCGUCGUCUGACACCGGAGCUCAUCCAAGCUUCUCAUAAAGUAUUCUUUAAACAAUGCUCUUCUUUUUUUCUUUUCUAUUAAAAAAACCAGCAACAAGCGUUGUAAAGAAUUAUCACUUUCAUGACAUUGGUAAUUUCUGUAGAAGAUGCAUAUUUGAUGAUUU
Brassica napus (rape) is the source of this 405-nucleotide long non-coding RNA. RefSeq lists it as uncharacterized. NCBI's taxonomy places the organism in Eukaryota, Viridiplantae, Streptophyta, Magnoliopsida, Brassicales, Brassicaceae. The record is from RefSeq and is a predicted model, not a curated record. The transcript has 2 exons.